GGGGCGGUAGCUCAGUUGGUUAGAGCCCAGAACUCAUAAUUCUGUCGUCGUCGGUUCGAGCCCGACCCGCCCCACUA
This 77-nucleotide transfer RNA is filed under the name Actinomycetota bacterium. Its description in RNAcentral is "Actinobacteria bacterium tRNA-Met". It matches the Rfam family "tRNA". From Rfam's summary of the family: Transfer RNA (tRNA) molecules are approximately 80 nucleotides in length. Their secondary structure includes four short double-helical elements and three loops (D, anti-codon, and T loops). Lineage: Bacteria; Bacillati; Actinomycetota. The record is from RNAcentral.